CCUACGGGCGGCAGCAGUGAGGAAUAUUGGUCAAUGGCCGGAAGGCUGAACCAGCCAUGCCGCGUGAAGGUCAGUGCCCUAUGGGCGUUAAACUUCUUUUGUGCGGGAGCAAUAAUGGUCACGUGUGGCCAGACGAGAGUACCGUACGAAUAAGCAUCGGCUAACUCCGUGCCAGCAGCCGCGGUAAUACGGGGGAUGCCAGCGUUAUCCGGAUUUAUUGGGUUUAAAGGGUGCGUAGGCUGUGAGGUAAGUCAGCGGGGAAAUGCCCCCGCUCAACGGGGUGAAGUGCCAUUGAUACUGCCUUGCUGGAAUGCGGAUGCCGUGGGAGGAAUGUGUGGUGUAGCGGUGAAAUGCAUAGAUAUCACACAGAACACCGAUUGCGAAGGCAUCUCACGAAUCCGCGAUUGACGCUGAUGCACGAAAGCGUGGGUAUCAAACAGGAUUAGAUACCCCAGUAGUC
This 460-nucleotide ribosomal RNA is filed under the name uncultured bacterium. RNAcentral describes it as "partial 16S ribosomal RNA". It matches the Rfam family "Bacterial small subunit ribosomal RNA", at positions 338 to 795 of the family's 1533-position model. The record is from RNAcentral.